CGGACGGGUGAGUAAUGUCUGGGAAACUGCCUGAUGGAGGGGGAUAACUACUGGAAACGGUAGCUAAUACCGCAUAAUGUCGCAAGACCAAAGAGGGGGACCUUCGGGCCUCUUGCCAUCGGAUGUGCCCAGAUGGGAUUAGCUUGUUGGUGGGGUAACGGCUCACCAAGGCGACGAUCCCUAGCUGGUCUGAGAGGAUGACCAGCCACACUGGAACUGAGACACGGUCCAG
This 232-nucleotide ribosomal RNA is filed under the name uncultured bacterium. Its description in RNAcentral is "partial 16S ribosomal RNA". It matches the Rfam family "Bacterial small subunit ribosomal RNA", at positions 99 to 334 of the family's 1533-position model. The record is from RNAcentral. RNAcentral also lists the same sequence under 1 other name.